RNAcentral lists this ribosomal RNA (440 nucleotides) under uncultured bacterium. Its description in RNAcentral is "partial 16S ribosomal RNA". It matches the Rfam family "Bacterial small subunit ribosomal RNA", at positions 338 to 795 of the family's 1533-position model. The record is from RNAcentral.
CCUACGGGUGGCAGCAGUGGGGAAUAUUGCACAAUGGGGGCAACCCUGAUGCAGCAACGCCGCGUGUGUGAAGAAGGAUUUCGGUAUGUAAAGCCCUAUCAGCAGGGAAGAGAAUGACGGUACCUGACUAAGCAGCCCUGGCUAACGACGUGCCAGCAGCCGCGGUAUUACUGAGGGGGCAAGCGUUAUGCGGAUUUACUGGGUGUAAAGGUAGCGUAGACGGUUGUGCAAGUCUGAAGUGAAAGCCCGCGGCUCAACUGGGGAACGGCUUGGGAGACUGUCUAAAUGGAGUCUUGGAGAGGUAGGCAGAAUUCCUGGUGUAGCGGUGAAAUGCGUAGAGAUCAGGAGGAACACCGGCGGCGAAGGCGGCUUACUGGACAGUAACUGACGCUGAGGCUCGAAAGCGUGGGGAGCAAACAGGAUUAGAUACCCGAGUAGUC